Molecule: ribosomal RNA, 433 nt
Filed under: uncultured bacterium
Lineage: Bacteria
Description: partial 16S ribosomal RNA
Rfam family: Bacterial small subunit ribosomal RNA
Source: RNAcentral
AACGAACGCUGGCGGCAUGCCUAACACAUGCAAGUCGAACGAGACCUUCGGGUCUAGUGGCGCACGGGUGCGUAACGCGUGGGAACCUGCCCUUAGGCUCGGAAUAACUCCCCGAAAGGGGUGCUAAUACCGGAUAUUGUCUUCGGACCAAAGAUUUAUCGCCUUUGGAUGGGCCCGCGUGGGAUUAGCUAGUUGGUAGGGUAAAAGCCUACCAAGGCGACGAUCCAUAGCUGGUCUGAGAGGAUGAUCAGCCACACUGGGACUGAGACACGGCCCAGACUCCUACGGGAAGCAGCAGUGGGGAAUAUUGGACAAUGGGCGAAAGCCUGAUCCAGCAAUGCCGCGUGAGUGAUGAAGGCCUUAGGGUUGUAAAGCUCUUUUACCCGGGAUGAUAAUGACAGUACCGGGAGAAUAAGCUCCGGCUAACUCCGUG